GUGGGCGUGGUGUAGGGGUUAACACAUCUGGUUGUGGCCCAGAAGAUCGUGGGUUCGAAUCCCACCGUCCACCCCA
Molecule: transfer RNA, 76 nt
Filed under: Anaerolineales bacterium
Lineage: Bacteria; Bacillati; Chloroflexota; Anaerolineae; Anaerolineales
Also listed under: 1 other name
Description: tRNA-His
Rfam family: tRNA
About the family: Transfer RNA (tRNA) molecules are approximately 80 nucleotides in length. Their secondary structure includes four short double-helical elements and three loops (D, anti-codon, and T loops).
Source: RNAcentral